RNA transcript from Impatiens glandulifera, 1018 nucleotides. RefSeq lists it as uncharacterized. The record is from RefSeq and is a predicted model, not a curated record. The transcript has 5 exons. NCBI's taxonomy places the organism in Eukaryota, Viridiplantae, Streptophyta, Magnoliopsida, Ericales, Balsaminaceae.
AUCAGAAUGGAAUCGCCUGAAGAAGACAGUGACUGGUUUAAAAAAUCUUAUCAUCUCAAUGAGGCAGAUAUUGUUGGAAUAACCAUGAUGGAUUUUCAGGAAGCAAUCAUAAAGUUCCAGCCUUCAUUGAAAAAAGAAUGGUUUUCUAUCAUCCCCGAAGUGAAAUGGGAAGUCAUAGGUGGGAUGGUACCAAUAAGGCACGAGUUUAUGCGUUCCAUUGUUCAACGUAUUAAAAAUCCUGAUGAUAUGGUGAUCAAUGUUCCUUCAUUUUAAUGAAACAGGUUAAGUUUUAUUUUUGUGUACUGUAUUUAUAAUCUGGAUAUUUCAGAAUGUUCAAACAGAGAAAUGGUUUUUUCUUUAUGGACCUACUGGCUGUGGUAAAACAUUAAUUGCAAAGGUUGUGGUCAAUGAAGUUGGGGCUAGUUUUAUACACAUUAAGGGUCUUGAACUUUUACAUAAAUAUGGGAGAGAAAGUGAAUGGGCAGUUAAAACUAUGUUCCACCGUGCAAAGAUAUUCUCCCCAUGUCUAAUUUUCUUUGAUCAGGUGGAUCCUUUGAUAACGAAACGAGCAAAGGAAGGUGAUUGGGUUCUUGAAAGACUUUUGAAUCAGAGGUGAAUGAAGCAGCACUGGCUGCAAAAAAUGAAAGAAAAUUCGUCUUAGAUUUGUCCACUAUACAUAGAAGGCAUUUCGACGUAGCAUUCCAAAGGAUCUCCCCAUCUGUCUCCCAAAAGGUAUUUGUUUAUUUUAUUUUAUUUUACUUUAUUGAAUCACUUUACGGGUCAUUGGCGACGCCUCAACUGUUCCUUAUCUAUUCGACAAGAUGAAUUCAGCAUCUACUUGGAGACCUUUAUCAAGUGUCUUCUUCCACUUUUACAGCUGUGAAUAUGAGGUGUGCAUUGUUUUCCAAGAAAUUCAUUUACGUUUCUUCAUAUAGAUCCAAUAUUGAAUGAUUGUGUUAUGUGUACUCUCUUUUCUUACAUUAAUAUUAAAAUUUGUAUUAAUAAACAAGAAUUUAAG